GCAGACGGCCGGGCGGUCGCGGCGGACUUCGCGUCCGUCGAGGAAAGUCCGGGCUCCACGGUGAAAAGGCGGCGGAUAACUUCCGCCCGGGGCGACCCGAGGGAUAGCGCCACAGAAAGCAAACCGCCUCCCGUUCGCGGGCGGCAAGGGUGAAAGGGUGGGGUAAGAGCCCACCGCGGACCUGGCGACAGGGACGGCAUGGCAAGCCCCGCCUGGAGCAAGACCAAAUAGGGACAUCGCGCGGGACAGGAUUCGUCCUGUUUCGCAGGGCUCACCGCCCCAGAUGUCCGGGUAGGUCGCGAGAACCGAUCAGCAAUGGUCGGUCCAGAGGAAUGAUCGUCGCCGUCUCGUGCUUCGGCAAGGGGCGGAACAAAACCCGGCUUACAGGCCGUCUGGCAUU
This 400-nucleotide RNase P RNA is filed under the name Brevundimonas sp. RNAcentral's name for it is "RNase P RNA component class A". It matches the Rfam family "Bacterial RNase P class A". From Rfam's summary of the family: Ribonuclease P (RNase P) is a ubiquitous endoribonuclease, found in archaea, bacteria and eukarya as well as chloroplasts and mitochondria. Its best characterised activity is the generation of mature 5'-ends of tRNAs by cleaving the 5'-leader elements of precursor-tRNAs. Cellular RNase Ps are ribonucleoproteins. Lineage: Bacteria; Pseudomonadati; Pseudomonadota; Alphaproteobacteria; Caulobacterales; Caulobacteraceae. The record is from RNAcentral.